GUGCUUAUUUAGGAGUAUCUACACUAAAAUAAGAACAAUACAGAUGUUAGUAGGGCCCCUAAGCAAGGAAAAUACAAAUUCAUGAAGCUAUCUAUAUUUUU
This is a small nuclear RNA of Panthera leo (lion), 101 nucleotides long. Lineage: Eukaryota; Metazoa; Chordata; Mammalia; Carnivora; Felidae. The record is from Ensembl.